UCCUGCCUCUCUCCUGCUGGCUGCUCGCAGGCGGCAGCAUCCUCCUAGUGGGCUGUGGAGCUGCAGGGUGGAGCUGGGACUCUAUAUCCCUGCAGCAGGCAGAGCCACCUGCCAUUGGCUGUUACAUGGGCGAGGAAUAAAGAAGGCGCGCACAGACAGUGUCACAAGAAUGCCUUCCGCCUGACCUCCUUCCUGCUCUCAGCUUGGCCACAGUGCAGGCUUCCUGUCAAGGCACAAACUCCCAAGGCCACAAGCAUCUGUGAGAGAAGCUGGGUGGUCAUCGAAGGCAGCAGGAACAGUGACGGGGAGAAAAACAGACUUGAGACGAGGAGAGAGAUGGCUGGGCUUCUCCCCGCAUUCCAGCCCCACAGAAGGCCCGGCUACACCCCAGCCACCGGGACCUCUUAGAUAUCACCACCUCCGGAUUUAAGAGUUCAAAACAUCAUCUGAACUCACAAACCUGAUUCUACACAGCUGCCAGCCUCUGCCCGCACCUUCGUUUGAAACAAGCCCUUCCAGAAACACACAGAAGAGCCACACCUACUCACUCUGCCAUCUCCUUUUUCAGAGGGAAAAGCUAGGCCACGUGUGGGAAAAUGCUGUUAGCUUAGUGGUGGUCAGGACGACCAGUUUAUGUUGAAAAUGUUCUGCUCUGGAUAAAAGUAAAUAAAACAAAACCUUGUUCCUUAGAA
Molecule: long non-coding RNA, 692 nt
Organism: Manis pentadactyla (Chinese pangolin)
Lineage: Eukaryota; Metazoa; Chordata; Mammalia; Pholidota; Manidae
Exons: 4
Source: RefSeq, a predicted model, not a curated record